RNAcentral lists this small RNA (151 nucleotides) under Aquamicrobium sp. LC103. RNAcentral's name for it is "Mesorhizobium sp. LC103 Alphaproteobacterial sRNA ar9". It matches the Rfam family "Alphaproteobacterial sRNA ar9". The record is from Rfam by way of RNAcentral. Lineage: Bacteria; Pseudomonadati; Pseudomonadota; Alphaproteobacteria; Hyphomicrobiales; Phyllobacteriaceae.
AUAAUCGAGAAGGCAGAGCAAAUAAUCUGCCUUCCUACGCGGUCAAAGUCUUGGGAGGAUGCGAUCUAGGCGCGAUUACUACGCUGCCGCCGAAAAACGGAAAGCAGAUCGGACGCGUUAAAUUGCAAGGCCUCGUGCCUUGCAUUUUUUU